GGGUUGUGAGGUUAAGCGACUAAGCGUACACGGUGGAUGCCCUGGCAGUCAGAGGCGAUGAAGGACGUGCUAAUCUGCGAAAAGCGCCGGCGAGGUGAUAUGAACCUUUGACCCGGCGAUGUCCGAAUGGGGAAACCCAGUGCAAUCCGUUGCACUAUCGUUAACUGAAUACAUAGGUUAACGAGGCGAACCGGGGGAACUGAAACAUCUAAGUACCCCGAGGAAAAGAAAUCAACCGAGAUUCCCCCAGUAGCGGCGAGCGAACGGGGAGCAGCCCGGAGUCUGAAUCAGCUUGUGUGUUAGUGGAACGGUCUGGAAAGUCCGACGGUACAGGGUGAUAGUCCCGUACACGAAAGCACACUUGCUGUGAACUCGAAGAGUAGGGCGGGACACGUGGUAUCCUGUCUGAAUAUGGGGGGACCAUCCUCCAAGGCUAAAUACUCCUGACUGACCGAUAGUGAACCAGUACCGUGAGGGAAAGGCGAAAAGAACCCCGGCGAGGGGAGUGAAAAAGAACCUGAAACCGUGUACGUACAAGCAGUGGGAGCCUCUUUAUGGGGUGACUGCGUACCUUUUGUAUAAUGGGUCAGCGACUUAUAUUCUGUAGCAAGGUUAACCGUAUAGGGGAGCCGAAGGGAAACCGAGUCUUAACUGGGCGUUAAGUUGCAGGGUAUAGACCCGAAACCCGGUGAUCUAGCCAUGGGCAGGUUGAAGGUUGGGUAACACUAACUGGAGGACCGAACCGACUAAUGUUGAAAAAUUAGCGGAUGACCUGUGGCUGGGGGUGAAAGGCCAAUCAAACCGGGAGAUAGCUGGUUCUCCCCGAAAGCUAUUUAGGUAGCGCCUCGUGAACUCAUCUUCGGGGGUAGAGCACUGUUUCGGCUAGGGGGCCAUCCCGGCUUACCAACCCGAUGCAAACUACGAAUACCGAAGAAUGUUAUCACGGGAGACACACGGCGGGUGCUAACGUCCGUCGUGAAGAGGGAAACAACCCAGACCGCCAGCUAAGGUCCCAAAGUCAUGGUUAAGUGGGAAACGAUGUGGGAAGGCACAGACAGCCAGGAUGUUGGCUUAGAAGCAGCCAUCAUUUAAAGAAAGCGUAAUAGCUCACUGGUCGAGUCGGCCUGCGCGGAAGAUGUAACGGGGCUAAACCAUGCACCGAAGCUGCGGCAGCGACGCUUAGGCGUUGUUGGGUAGGGGAGCGUUCUGUAAGCCGUUGAAGGUGUCCUGUGAGGGGUGCUGGAGGUAUCAGAAGUGCGAAUGCUGACAUAAGUAACGAUAAAGCGGGUGAAAAGCCCGCUCGCCGGAAGACCAAGGGUUCCUGUCCAACGUUAAUCGGGGCAGGGUGAGUCGACCCCUAAGGCGAGGCCGAAAGGCGUAGUCGAUGGGAAACAGGUUAAUAUUCCUGUACUUGGUGUUACUGCGAAGGGGGGACGGAGAAGGCUAUGUCAGCCGGGCGACGGUUGUCCCGGUUUAAGCAUGUAGGCGGAGGUUCCAGGUAAAUCCGGUACCUUAUUAACGCUGAGGUGUGAUGACGAGGCACUACGGUGCUGAAGUGAUAAAUGCCCUGCUUCCAGGAAAAGCCUCUAAGCAUCAGGUAACACGAAAUCGUACCCCAAACCGACACAGGUGGUCAGGUAGAGAAUACCAAGGCGCUUGAGAGAACUCGGGUGAAGGAACUAGGCAAAAUGGUGCCGUAACUUCGGGAGAAGGCACGCUGAUAUGUAGGUGAAGCCCCUGCGGGCGGAGCUGAAAUCAGUCGAAGAUACCAGCUGGCUGCAACUGUUUAUUAAAAACACAGCACUGUGCAAACACGAAAGUGGACGUAUACGGUGUGACGCCUGCCCGGUGCCGGAAGGUUAAUUGAUGGGGUUAGCGGCAACGCGAAGCUCUUGAUCGAAGCCCCGGUAAACGGCGGCCGUAACUAUAACGGUCCUAAGGUAGCGAAAUUCCUUGUCGGGUAAGUUCCGACCUGCACGAAUGGCGUAAUGAUGGCCAGGCUGUCUCCACCCGAGACUCAGUGAAAUUGAACUCGCUGUGAAGAUGCAGUGUACCCGCGGCAAGACGGAAAGACCCCGUGAACCUUUACUAUAGCUUGACACUGAACACUGGUCCUUGAUGUGUAGGAUAGGUGGGAGGCUUUGAAGCGUGGACGCCAGUCUGCGUGGAGCCAACCUUGAAAUACCACCCUUUAAUGGCUGGUGUUCUAACGUAGACCCGUAAUCCGGGUUGCGGACAGUGUCUGGUGGGUAGUUUGACUGGGGCGGUCUCCUCCCAAAGAGUAACGGAGGAGCACGAAGGUUGGCUAAUCCUGGUCGGACAUCAGGAGGUUAGUGCAAUGGCAUAAGCCAGCUUGACUGCGAGCGUGACGGCGCGAGCAGGUGCGAAAGCAGGUCAUAGUGAUCCGGUGGUUCUGAAUGGAAGGGCCAUCGCUCAACGGAUAAAAGGUACUCCGGGGAUAACAGGCUGAUACCGCCCAAGAGUUCAUAUCGACGGCGGUGUUUGGCACCUCGAUGUCGGCUCAUCACAUCCUGGGGCUGAAGUAGGUCCCAAGGGUAUGGCUGUUCGCCAUUUAAAGUGGUACGCGAGCUGGGUUUAGAACGUCGUGAGACAGUUCGGUCCCUAUCUGCCGUGGGCGCUGGAGAAUUGAGGGGGGCUGCUCCUAGUACGAGAGGACCGGAGUGGACGCAUCACUGGUGUUCGGGUUGUCAUGCCAAUGGCACUGCCCGGUAGCUAAAUGCGGAAGAGAUAAGUGCUGAAAGCAUCUAAGCACGAAACUUGCCCCGAGAUGAGUUCUCCCUGAGACCUUGAGUCUCCUGAAGGAACGUUGAAGACGACGACGUUGAUAGGUCGGGUGUGUAAGCGCAGCGAUGCGUUGAGCUAACCGAUACUAAUGAACCGUGAGGCUUAACCUUACAACGCCGAAGCUGUU
RNAcentral lists this ribosomal RNA (2932 nucleotides) under Enterobacter cloacae. RNAcentral describes it as "bacterial LSU rRNA". It matches the Rfam family "Bacterial large subunit ribosomal RNA". RNAcentral also lists the same sequence under 1 other name. The record is from RNAcentral. Lineage: Bacteria; Pseudomonadati; Pseudomonadota; Gammaproteobacteria; Enterobacterales; Enterobacteriaceae.